Molecule: ribosomal RNA, 1260 nt
Filed under: Lachnospiraceae bacterium A10
Lineage: Bacteria; Bacillati; Bacillota; Clostridia; Lachnospirales; Lachnospiraceae
Description: bacterial LSU rRNA
Rfam family: Bacterial large subunit ribosomal RNA
Source: RNAcentral
CGCAUUUGCAGAGGUCAAGCAAAAAAGAGCGCAGGGUGGAUGCCUUGGCACUAAGAGCCGACGAAAGACGUGAUAAGCUGCGAAAAGCUGCGGGGAGAUGCAAAUAAUCUUUGAUCCGCAGAUAUCUGAAUGGGGAAACCUGGCUGGACGAACUCCAGUCAUCCAUACGCCAAUACAUAACGUAUGGAAGGGAACCCGGUGAACUGAAACAUCUAAGUAACCGGAGGAAGAGAAAGAAACAUCGAUUUCCAAAGUAGCGGCGAGCGAAAUGGAAAGAGGCCAAACCAUGGUGCGUGCACCGUGGGGUUCGGACCGCAUAAUUGAUUCAAAACUGUUAGCAGAACUGUUCUGGGAAGUACGACCAGAGAGGGUGAGAGUCCCGUACGCGAAAACAGGAUUGACAUGGCGGUAUCCAGAGUACAUCGAGACACGAGAAACCUUGAUGGAAUGAGCGGGGACCACCCCGUAAGCCUAAAUACUACUUAGUGACCGAUAGCGCAUAGUACUGUGAAGGAAAGGUGAAAAGGACCCCGGGAGGGGAGUGAAAGAGAACCUGAAACCCUGUGUUUACAAGCUGUGGUAGCACGAUGUAAAUCACGUGCGACCGCGUACUUUUUGUAGAACGGUCCGGCGAGUUACGCUCACUGGCAAGGUUAAGGACUUAAGGUCUGGAGCCGAAGGGAAACCAAGUCUGAAUAGGGCGAGUAAGUCAGUGGGAGUAGACCCGAAACCGGGUGAUCUAUCCAUGUCCAGGUUGAAGUUGCCGUAAAAGGCAAUGGAGGACCGAACCCACAUCCGUUGAAAAGGGUGGGGAUGAGGUGUGGAUAGGGGAGAAAUUCCAAUCGAACCCGGAGAUAGCUGGUUCUCCUCGAAAUAGCUUUAGGGCUAGCCUCGUUUUAGUCUUAUGCAGGUAGAGCACUGAAUUUCUGCGGGGGCGUCAAAGCCUACCAAGGAAUAUCAAACUCCGAAUGGCAUGUAGAUGAUGAACGGGAGUCAGACUGCACGAGAUAAGUUGAGUGGUCAAAAGGGAAAGAGCCCAGACCGCCGGCUAAGGUCCCAAAGUGCGUGUUAAGUGGAAAAGGAUGUGAGAUUUCGAAGACAACUAGGAUGUUGGCUCAGAAGCAGCCAAGCAUUCAAAGAGUGCGUAACAGCUCACUAGUCGAGAGGUCUUGCGCCGAAAAUGUCCGGGGCUAAAACACGACACCGAAGCCGCGGGAUGUAGUAAUACAUCGGUAGAGGAGCAUUCUAAAAACCGACGAA